Molecule: RNA transcript, 3034 nt
Organism: Benincasa hispida (wax gourd)
Lineage: Eukaryota; Viridiplantae; Streptophyta; Magnoliopsida; Cucurbitales; Cucurbitaceae
Gene name: transcription factor PCL1-like
Source: RefSeq, a predicted model, not a curated record
GCUAUUUUCUCGAAAUAUCUUUUUUAAAAAAAAGGAGUUGAUUUUGUUCUUCAUUGCUUCCAUUUCUUCUUCGUUCUUCGUUUUUCUUGUUCUUGUUUCUUCAAUUUUCUUUCGCCGGAAAUUUCUCGACUGCGAUCGUAACUGACUUUAAUUCGUUGCCCUAAACCCUCGGAGAAAUUAGGUUUUAAUUGUUUGGUUUUGAUUGAAUCUCGUUCUUGAGUUGAAACAGAGGAACGAGCCCUAGGUUUUGGAUUGGAGGAUGGGAGAGGAAGUGAAGAUGGCGGAAUAUGAGAGCGGUGGUGGUGACGAUGAAAACUGUGCUCAUGAGGAGCGAGUAUUUGAAUGGGAAACGGGUUUGCCUGAUGCCGACGAUCUCACUCCUCUGUCUCAGACUUUGAUUCCGCCGGAGCUUGCAUCAGCAUUCAGUAUAUCGACAGGGCCAUGUCGGACACUGAUGGAUGUUAAUCGAGCGUCGCAGAAUACGCUAUCGAAUCUUCGUGGAUUUCAAGCACAAGCGUUCUCAUCGAAUAAUUUCAAGUCAUUUAACGAUGAUCGAACUCGGGAUCAUGAUCCGACGGUGGUUGAAGGAGAUGAGGCAACGGAGAGGGAUGCAGGGUCGGAUUCUAGGAAAUUGAGGAAGGUUGAUUGUACGGAGGAGGCUGAUUCGGCUCUUCGGAUGGAUAAUUCGAUGGAUGAUCCAUCGGCUCGGACUUUGAAGAGACCGAGGCUUGUAUGGACGCCGCAAUUACACAAACGGUUUGUGGACGUUGUUGCUCAUCUUGGAAUUAAGAACGCAGUUCCUAAAACUAUUAUGCAGUUGAUGAACGUGGAAGGAUUGACUCGGGAGAAUGUUGCGAGUCAUCUUCAGAAAUAUAGGCUUUACUUGAAGAGGAUGCAGGGAUCUUCCAACGAGGGCCCGUCGUCACCGGACCGGAUUUUUGCAUCCACGCCUGUACCACAGACCUUGCACGAGUCUACCAACAGUGGGAAUGUCAACGGAAAUGGCCAUUUGCCGGUUCCGACUCCAAUGCCGUAUGGACCGCCGAUGAUGCCGAUGCCGGUUCUUGGCAUGGCAGCGUCUGGUCAUGCUCACAGUUAUAUGGGUAUGCCGAUCGCUCAUCCGGGAAGCGCACAGGGAUACCCUGGCUUUGAAACGCAUCCUUUCAAUAUGAUGCAUCAGAGAGAUUGGUCGGGGAACAAAUACAGCUCGAUCGUGCCUUACCCUCAUCCUCAUGUACCUCCUAAUUCUAAUGAUAAGUGAAUUCCCGCUAAUUCUCAGGUGUGAUCUAAGAUGCAUGACACUGUAGUUACAGGAGGCAAGAGAUGGUCUAAUCUCAUCAAAUUGAAAAACUUGCCCAUCACCUCUGGUGAAUUAUAGAAGUACCAAAGGGCACACCAAAUGAUCCUUGUCAGUGGAAUGGAUAUGUGUGUUGUUGAUUCUCUCCUUCUUAGGAUGACAUGAAAGAUGUCACUCUGGAAGGAAUUUGCUUUCGAUAAGGUCUCUGACAUAAACAGGGGGCACCCAGAUUGAUGAUACGCAACAUGUACCCAAACGUUUCCUAUCAAUUAUAUUAUUACGUUGUCUAUCAGUUUGGAACCUUUUGUUGGAGAGAACUGUCUGUCAGACAGUUUCAGCUGAAGGACAUAUGAAAUUUUGACAAAACAACAUAAAAAGGCUCCAUAGAACUAUCAAAGAACAUAUGUCCAAACGAAACCUCAAUUCUAUCUGUCUUGAAGAGCCUGCCAUCAAUGUGCUGUAAGUUUUGAAGUAUAUAUUUUGUCCUUCCGAAAAAUUUUAGUAGGACGGGAGUACCAUAGCCCCUUUCUCUAUGCUAGAAAUUUUUCUUCAUAAAUAAUUUUUUUAUGCUAGUGCAUCUCAAACUAUAUUUAAAAACAAACGAUAAAUGGAGGUGAUAUGGAAAAUGAAAAUUUUCCCUUCAAUGUCAAGACAAUUAGGCCAAAAAUAUAGUUAAUUCAAGUAUAGUUCAAGUAGAUAAGACCAAUUAUCAUUCUAUACAUUGAUUGUUCAAUCCUUUACCCAUGUUUGAACUCGAAAUAGAAUAUAUAGUGGAAUAUAAUACAAAAUAUCAUAGGCAUUGCUUAAAUUUUUAAAAGUUUUGAAUGGAACAGGUGAUAUGAGAAUUUAGAGACUAAAUUUAUAACUUAUAUUCAAUUCUCAAAACAUAUAUUUUCUCUAUUUUUGUUUUUUAGAAUAAUAGGAAAGGAAAUUUGAACUAUAAACCUCUUGAUCGCUAAUAUAUACUAUAUGUCAAUUGAAUUAUGCUAGCUUUGGCAAAACAUGCAUUUUCUAUAUUGUGCUUCAACUUUUGUUCACACUAGAUUUUUCUUUAUAAACAUUAGUGGAUUCCACAUCAGUGUUAGUGGAUCUCAUUCUAUUUUUAAAAGCAUGUUGACAGGAUACAAUAAAUGUAGGCAGUAUGAAAUUACACUCGUGGUAUUAGAAAUUUGCCUGUGUCUCAGUAUUGGAGAAUAAUUUUGCAUAAAAUAUUCAUCUUAAUUAGCAUCAUUAUCUAUUUCAGAUUUUUCUUAACAAGUGGUCUAUCUUUUACUCACUUGUAAUAACACAAGGAAAAGUAUGGUUGAAUUAUAAGGAAAAUUACCCAAACUAACUUAAAAUCCAAAAACUUCUACUUAAUUGACAUUUUUUUUUUUGAAAACAUGUUUCUUCAACCUUUUGAAGAUGUAAACACCUAUUUUGCCCUCAAUUUUAAAUGAAACACUUCUCGCUUCUCCCUUAUGGAUAUUUGUUUCAAUGGUUGGGUUUGGGAUGGGUUAGGCAUCCUGAGCCCAACCCUUGUUUGGGGCAAGGGUUUAAGAAGUCAAGGUUUCUUACAUUUUUUCCAUGGGUUACACUUUUUUUUUCUAAUUGAGCUUAAGGAAGUUUGUACAUAAUUUUAGUUUGUAAGUUUUUAUUGUUAGUUUUCAGUUGUAAAAAUAGAAACUAUAUUCUGUUAUUUUUUUAAAUUUAGUUGUAAAAACAAAAGCUAUAUUUUGUUUUCCCCUCUAUAAAUAA